UAUCAAUAAGCGGAGGAAAAGAAACCAACAGGGAUUGCCCCAGUAACGGCGAGUGAAGCGGCAACAGCUCAAAUUUGAAAUCUGGCACCUAGUGCCCGAGUUGUAAUUUGUAGAGGAUGCUUUUGGCAAGGUGCCUUCCGAGUUCCCUGGAACGGGACGCCAUAGAGGGUGAGAGCCCCGUCUGGUCGGAUACCGCGCCUCUGUAAAGCUCCUUCGACGAGUCGAGUAGUUUGGGAAUGCUGCUCAAAAUGGGAGGUAUAUGUCUUCUAAAGCUAAAUAUUGGCCAGAGACCGAUAGCGCACAAGUAGAGUGAUCGAAAGAUGAAAAGCACUUUGAAAAGAGGGUUAAAAAGUACGUGAAAUUGUUGAAAGGGAAGCGCCUAUGACCAGACUUGGGCCCGGUGAAUCAUCCAGCGUUCUCGCUGGUGCACUUUGCCGGGCACAGGCCAGCAUCAGUUUGGCUUGGGGGAAAAAGGCUUAGGGAACGUAGCUCCUCGGAGUGUUAUAGACCUUUGCAUAAUACCCUGAGCUGGACUGAGGUUCGCGCAUCUGCAAGGAUGCUGGCGUAAUGGUCAUCAGCGACCCGUCUUGAAACACGGACCAAGGAGUCGUCUUCGUAUGCGAGUGUUCGGGUGUAAAACCCCUACGCGUAAUGAAAGUGAACGCAGGUGAGAGCUUCGGCGCAUCAUCGACCGAUCCUGAUGUUCUCGGAUGGAUUUGAGUAAGAGCAUACGGGGCCGGACCCGAAAGAAGGUGAACUAUGCCUGUAUAGGGUGAAGCCAGAGGAAACUCUGGUGGAGGCUCGCAGCGGUUCUGACGUGCGAAUCGAUCGUCAAAUAUGGGCAUGGGGG
This 850-nucleotide ribosomal RNA is filed under the name Leptobacillium sp. RNAcentral describes it as "partial large subunit ribosomal RNA". It matches the Rfam family "Eukaryotic large subunit ribosomal RNA", at positions 41 to 923 of the family's 3401-position model. RNAcentral also lists the same sequence under 1 other name. The record is from RNAcentral. Lineage: Eukaryota; Fungi; Ascomycota; Sordariomycetes; Hypocreales; Cordycipitaceae.